Non-coding RNA from Desmophyllum pertusum, 77 nucleotides. Lineage: Eukaryota; Metazoa; Cnidaria; Anthozoa; Scleractinia; Caryophylliidae. The record is from the annotation of a GenBank genome assembly.
UCUCCUGUAGCUCAGUGGUAGCCGAGAGCGUCCGACCGGUGUGCGGAAGGUCAUAGGUUCGACAACUGUUGGGAGAA